UAAUGUAUGGGGAUCUGCCCGAUAGAGGGGAAUAACUACUGGAAACGGUGGCUAAUACCGCAUAAUGUCUACGGACCAAAGCAGGGGCUCUUCGGACCUUGCACUAUCGGAUGAACCCAUAUGGGAUUAGCUAGUAGGUGGGGUAAAGGCUCACCUAGGCGACGAUCUCUAGCUGGUCUGAGAGGAUGAUCAGCCACACUGGGCUGAGACACGGCCCAG
RNAcentral lists this ribosomal RNA (219 nucleotides) under uncultured bacterium. Its description in RNAcentral is "partial 16S ribosomal RNA". It matches the Rfam family "Bacterial small subunit ribosomal RNA", at positions 111 to 334 of the family's 1533-position model. The record is from RNAcentral.